AAAAACCUCCUGCGGGCAUGGCAGGAGCAAAAGACAACUUAGCUUAGCUUUUGGUCUCCCUGGCAUGUCAGGAAGCAUUUUGGUAGCUUUAGCUUUGACUUUUCCUUUUAGCCUUGAGUAGUUUUCCUUUCUCCGUAUGUUAGGAGAAGCAAAAACAAUGGAUACUUCCAGUAGCUUUUCUUUUCAGUCAGUAUUCCAUCGGAUCGAAUUUGUGCAUUUUCCAAUUGAUGGCUGCAGUUUCCUCUUCAAUUUUGCGUGGGAUUUGUUCACCAAAAUGAACUAAUUCCCUUUUUCUAGUCAAGGAGCAACGGAU
Molecule: long non-coding RNA, 313 nt
Filed under: Coffea arabica (coffee)
Lineage: Eukaryota; Viridiplantae; Streptophyta; Magnoliopsida; Gentianales; Rubiaceae
Description: long non-coding RNA (CARA_LNC005760)
Source: RNAcentral